GCGGGUAUAGUUUAGUGGUAAAACCCUAGCCUUCCAAGCUACCGAUGCGGGUUCGAUUCCCGCUACCCGCU
This 71-nucleotide transfer RNA is filed under the name Sinocrassula yunnanensis. RNAcentral's name for it is "tRNA-Gly". It matches the Rfam family "tRNA". From Rfam's summary of the family: Transfer RNA (tRNA) molecules are approximately 80 nucleotides in length. Their secondary structure includes four short double-helical elements and three loops (D, anti-codon, and T loops). The record is from RNAcentral. Lineage: Eukaryota; Viridiplantae; Streptophyta; Magnoliopsida; Saxifragales; Crassulaceae. RNAcentral also lists the same sequence under 13 other names.